This is a non-coding RNA of Podarcis lilfordi (Lilford's wall lizard), 5262 nucleotides long. The record is from the annotation of a GenBank genome assembly. Lineage: Eukaryota; Metazoa; Chordata; Lepidosauria; Squamata; Lacertidae.
CUCUCUACUUUCGCUUUUGAGGAGAGAGGACGUGUUUUCGCGAUGCUGUUCGCUGUGAUAGAUAAUGGAUAGCCUGCUGUAAAUAAAGCUGCUUUUAGCUGCCAAGAUCCUGAGUGGACUUCAUUUAAGCACACUGAAGAAUGCACUGGAGUGUUUUGGUUUCCUCAAGCCGCUGACGAACUCUGCUAUGCUCAGAAGUAUCGGAAUGUGCCCUUUGGAAUGCAGAGGCCUACGCAAUGGGGGAAGCGUGCCGGACGCUUAUCUGAGCAAUAAAUCAAGAUAUCUCAGAGGUUAUGGGGGCAGGUAAUGCAAUUAGAGGAAGCCUGCUUUGAUGUGCUGUGUGCUUAAGAAGGCUGGAAAACUGAGAAGCUGUUGUUUUGCUGCCGGAAUGCAAAAGUCCUGCUUUGAGGCUUCGCCUGGGAGAAAAGCUGCAAAGCUGGCUGCAAAGCUGUGUGCUGCAAGGAGCCACUAGAGGCCUCUCCUUUGAAGCUGGCUGGUACGCGUGAGUACUUCAAAGCAGCCCCAAUGGAAGCACUGGGGGAGGAGAUGGCUGAGCUCCAGGACUUUUAUGAUGUCCCGUUUGAAAAGCUCACAACCCAGUCCUGGGAUAUCUGGGUUAGAAGAGUCAGGGGGUGGUUUUUGGCCACAGGGUUCUGGGAUAUAGCCCAGAAGGAGCCCGCCCCACCCAUGCCAGUUGCUGCUGAAGAAGGAGGAGCAGAAUGGGAGGCUGCUCUCCUGGAAGAUAGAGAGCUGAGAAUGCAAAGGGAGCUCUGCAUGUUGAGAGCAAGCGUGGACGCUAUGCUGUUGCCCCACCUGGAGGGCAUUGAGUCGGCUCAGGCCGCCUGGCAGGUGCUGAGGAGUCUGUGUGAUAGCUCAGCAGGAGCCCAGGGCCUGGAGAAAGCCGAGAGCAGGCAGGAAGCUGAGAGCCCAGAGGGGGCUGGCCAUGUUCCUAAAGUUACAGCUGGGAGUAGCUGCUUUGUCUCCGAGGGGCCGUGUGAUGUUGAGGCCUACAACCAGAGUGCUGGGGAGCGUGCAGGCCCAGGCUGUGCACCCAAAGGUGGGGGUGCAGGGAACAAAGAAAUGGCUGAAGAGGGAGCUGUGAGAGCUGUUGCUACGCGUCGCCGCUGUUAUCGCUGUGGCUCCCCCUCCCAUCUGGUGAGAGAAUGUCCAGUGGAGGAACAGCCCAAGGCCGUCUCCCGUAGCAACCAGAUAAAGAGCUCUUCUUCAAAGCGUGGGAAAGGCAAGCCGAAGGCAGCUGGCAGAGACACUGAACGUAAACAAUUGGCUGCCUCUAUGGCUGUAGUCAAAAGUUGUCAACAGGAUGCUGAGCUGGCUUUUGUGGUCGACAGUGGAGCAUCUCAUCACCUGGUGCCAUCUGGUGGAUUCCUGGAGAACUGCACCUCUGUAAAAUCUGGGAAGACUGUCUGUUUAGCAGAUGGGACUCGACACCCACUCACGCAGAGUGGCUCACUGUUUUGUUCUUUCUUGCAGGACUCAAUUCAGGCUUUUGUUGUUCCAGGACUGUCCUGCGCGUUGCUGUCUGUCAGUGCACUUCUUGCUGAAAACUACAGAGUGUGUUUUGAGAACAAUAAGUGUUCUAUUUCCAAGAAUGGACAGCACCUAGUCAGUGUCGAAUGUAAAGACAGGUUGUUUGUGAUAAAUGCUUCUUUUGCAGGUCCAGAUGACACGGAUGACACGGAGGAGGCUCAAGCGCAGUGUGCCAAUGUUCCAGUUCAUGAUGCGUGUGCCCAUCUCUGGCACCGACGUAUGUCACACGUUUCGUGGGGGUCGGUGAGAAGGAUCCCAGAGUAUACGCAAGGGUGCAAAAUGAAAUCAUGUGCUAAAUUUCUAGAUUGCAGAGCGUGCAAGUCCGCAAAGGUGAAAACGUGCACAUACCCUAGGUCUGAGAGGGUGACCACUAGGGCUUUUCAAUUAAUUCAUGCAGAUUUGUGUGGACCGUUUUCUGUGAGCAGUUUGGGCGGAGCCAAAUAUUCGCUGGUUCUGAUUGAUGACCAUACUAGGAAUUCUUGGUGUUUCACAAUUCGGCGCAAAGAUGAAGCUGCGCCGCUAAUCAAAGACUGGAUUGCGGCUGUGGAACUGCAGUUUUCCACACGGGUGCAAAACUUUCAGAGCGAUCGCGGUGGGGAGUUCACCGGGUCUGCACUGCAAAGUUUCUUCCGCAAAAGGGGAUUCAACACAGGUUGACUUCUCCACACAGUCCCCAACAGAAUGGGAUCGCGGAACGCAGAAACAGGACUCUAGGGGAGAUGUCCGCAGCUCUUUGUUUGAUGCCGGGCUCCCACAGCGCUUUUGGGGGAGGCUUGGCGACCGGCCAACUUUGUUCUGAACAGGUCGUUCAAUUCAGUGGUAGGUGACACACCGUACUUCUUGCUCCAUGGCGAGAAACCGAAAGUGCACUACUUCCGCGUUUUUGGCUGUGAGGCUUGGGUCCCCAUACCAAAGGCCAAACGCAAGAAAGGUGAACCCAGGUCCCAAAAGAUGAUUUUUUGUGGGUAUGAGCCAGGGACCAAGGGGUGGAGGUUUGCUUAUCCGUCAGGGAAUCAGUCCAGGAUUCUGCUCAGCAACAGUGCUGAAUUCUGUGAGCAGAGUGGCUGGGCAAGGAUACAUGGGAACCCUGACAUCCUGUCAGAGAGUCUGCUAGACUCUGCUGAUGAAGGAGAGGAAGAGGUUGAACCUGCUACUGAGGCUCAGAGUCCAGGCCCAGUGCAGGCAGUGCUCCAUCUUCCCCCACAGGUUCGGCUGAGAAGUCCAGAAGGCGCAGUAAGUCAGAGGGGAGCUCUCUGAUGCCAAGGACGUUCUAGCUGGCCCUAGUGGGUCAGAGGGGUUCCUGAAGUAGUGCUGCGCCGUUCAACGUGGACGACCAAGGGAAACCUCCUGAAAGGUUUGCCGUCACUAGUGUGUGGGUCGGAAUGGCACAGUGUGAACCCGAGAGUUUUGAGGAUGUUCAGAAACUGCCUCAAGAAGAAGCCAGGAAAUGGCAUGAGGCGAUGCAGAAGGAGAUGAACUCAAUGGAGUCUCUAGGUGUGUUCUCCCUCACGAAGUUGCCGGUGGGUGAAAAGGCAGUGGGUAACCGCUGGGUUUACCGUCUUAAGCCCACAGCGACAGGAGAACCGCAGUAUAAGGCCAGAUUAGUGGCGAGAGGAUUCACGCAGCAGAGGGGUUGCAUUAUACGGAGAGUUAUGCGCCCACGUGUAGGAGUGAGUCUCUACGCUUGGUCUUGGCCAUCGCUGCACAAAGAGGUUUGCUGGUGCAUCACUUUGAUGUGGAUGUUGCUUACUUGAACUCAGACCUCCAGGAGGAUCUGUACAUGCUUCCUCCUCCUGGGUUUGAGGGCAAUGAGCGAGGUACUGUGUGGAAACUUCACAGGUCAAUUUACGGCCUGAAGCAGUCGGCCAGGAAUUGGAACUUGUGCCUGAACGAAGCUUUGGAGAAGCUAGGUUUCAGGAAGAGUCUUGCUGACAGUUGCCUGUUCCUUAGAGGAUCAGGAGACUCACAGGAACUGGUGUUGUUUUACGUUGAUGACAUCAUCCAUGUUGGAAAGGCAGACAAACAGGUGCAGAAGUUUGCCAAAGAGCUUGGGAAACGGUUUCAGCUCAAGGACCUGGGUGCAGUAAAGAUCUACCUAGGUGUCCAGAUAGCGAGAACUGAGGAUGGUAGCUUCUUGCUCAGUCAGAAAGGCAAGAUUGAGCAGUUGCUGGAGAAGUUCAGAAUGUCCGAUUGUGCAGGAGUUCGGACACCCAUGGAGACGAACUUCGUGAAAGAUAGCCAGCAAGCAGAGAGUGCUGAGUUUGAGAAUGCUGAGCUCUUUCAGUCAGCUCUAGGUAGUCUGUUGUAUCUGUCCCAAUGGAGCAGACCAGACAUUGCCUUUGCUACCAACCUGCUAAGUAGGGAAGCGUCAAAGCCCAGUGUGAGUGCUUGGCACGGUAUCAAGCGGGUACUGCGCUACCUGCAGCAUACCAAAGACUUCUGUCUUAAGCUGCCAGCUGAAGGUGAGGCGAAGCUCACAUGCUAUGCGGACAGUGACUGGGCGAAUUCGCAGGACCGCAAGUCUGUGUCUGGGUUGGUGAUUAAGUUUGGGAAGUCACUAGUUGGGUGGAAGUCCCGGAAGCAAAGUCUCAUUGCGCUGUCUUCUACUGAGGCUGAAUUCAGUGCACUGUCAGACUUGUGCCGAGAACUUGAGUUCUAUAGAUGCUUGGUGCAAGAGAUCUAUGGGGAUUGUAGCUUGUCCAUCACGGUUUGGGAAGACAAUCAGCCUUGUUUGAAGUUGGCUGAAUCUGCGCAAUUUAAGGCGAGAACCAAGCAUCUGGACAUACGUUUCCAAAAUGUGUGUCAGAGUGUUCAGUCAGGUUUGAUACGACUGAAGUACUGUGCCAGUCACAGUAACCUGGCCGAUGGAUUUACCAAACCUUUAAGCUUCCAGCGUCAUGGGGAGUUUUGUGGUGGUUUGGAGUUGGGGGUAAGUUCUGUACUCACUUUCCCCACAGUAGCGCAGGGCGAGAGGGGGUGUGAGGAGAACCUGAGCUUACAGGGUUAAACAGCUCAGACUGUACGCCCUGCCUACAGUUGGGAGGGGGGAGCUACGUCAGUUCCGAGAGACUAAAGUCUUUGUUCUGUCUCUCUACUUUCGCUUUUGAGGAGAGAGGACGUGUUUUCGCGAUGCUGUUCGCUGUGAUAGAUAAUGGAUAGCCUGCUGUAAAUAAAGCUGCUUUUAGCUGCCAAGAUCCUGAGUGGACUUCAUUUAAGCACACUGAAGAAUGCACUGGAGUGUUUUGGUUUCCUCUAGCCGCUGACGAACUCUGCUAUGCUCAGAAGUAUCGGAAUGUGCCCUUUGGAAUGCAGAGGCCUACGCAAUGGGGGAAGCGUGCCGGACGCUUAUCUGAGCAAUAAAUCAAGAUAUCUCAGAGUUAUAUGGCUUUAGUAGAAAUGUUAUAAGGAAUUAAGUACAGAUAGGUUAAUAGAGCAUUAAAGGAAAAAAUAAGGUUAGAAUGAGUUAAGAUAAUUAUAGGAUAGAAAACAGAGGAAGAUGGAAAGGAAUUGCUGAAAUAAUUAACAGAAGUGGAAUACAAAAAGGGAGGUGUGAGGAGGUCGUGGAAAUAAGUGAAUGAAAGAUGAGAUAACGAAAUUGUUUGAUUUAUUUUAUUGUUUUUGUUUUGUUUUUGUUGAUUUGUUGUGUUGUAUUGUAUUGUUUUUCUUUUUAAUGUCUAAGUUUUUGGAAAAAUAAUAAAUAUUAUUAUUUUUUUU